This 229-nucleotide unclassified non-coding RNA is filed under the name uncultured fungus. RNAcentral's name for it is "sequence contains ITS1, 5.8S rRNA gene". The stretch from base 181 to 229 matches the Rfam family "5.8S ribosomal RNA", at positions 1 to 49 of the family's 154-position model. The record is from RNAcentral. Lineage: Eukaryota; Fungi.
UUUCCGUAGGUGAACCUGCGGAAGGAUCAUUAAUGAAUUUAGGGUGGCUGCUUCAACCAGCGCCCAAACCUUCAUUUCCAACCCUGUGCACUAUUGUUUACGCGUGUUUUGGCUUCGGCUAUUCGCGCUUCAUUUUAAAACUCUUGUAUCAGAAUGUAUAAAAACAAAUAACAAAAGAAAAACUUUCAACAACGGAUCUCUUGGCUCUCGCAUCGAUGAAGAACGCAGC